This is a long non-coding RNA of Diorhabda carinulata, 355 nucleotides long. RefSeq lists it as uncharacterized. The transcript is spliced from 2 exons. Lineage: Eukaryota; Metazoa; Arthropoda; Insecta; Coleoptera; Chrysomelidae. The record is from RefSeq and is a predicted model, not a curated record.
GAUAACUUAUAAAUAAAAAAAAAUAAUAAGGGAUACAAGAGUAUGGAAUAAGCUGAAGUAGUAAAGAAUUGAGUAUUGAAAUGAAUAGAAUAAAUGCGAAAAAUUUUAUUAUCAACAAUUUUAAACUAAAAGAUAUUUUGUGUAGACAGGAUUAUCAGAAAUAUGAUUAGCUAAAUCCGAUUGCUGAUUGAGAUUACUAUUCCUGCUGUAUUAUUCCAAUAAGAAACUUGAGUAAAAAAUAUUUAAACCAUACUUUAUGUGAAAGGCAAUGAAAAGUGAAAAUAAGCAUCAAACGCGAGAAAUUAUGUAAAAUUUCAAGUCAAUAGCUUGAUUAAAAGUUAAAAUUAUCUUCGAA